Molecule: long non-coding RNA, 475 nt
Organism: Bradysia coprophila
Lineage: Eukaryota; Metazoa; Arthropoda; Insecta; Diptera; Sciaridae
Source: RefSeq, a predicted model, not a curated record
UUGCAAUAAGUUGUAAUUGGUUUAAAUCGGAAAUGAAGUUGUCGAUAAUUAUUUGGUUGUUCAGUUGCGUUGCACUGUCAAUGCAGUACGAUUGCUUUUGGAGCGGAUGUGAGGGACUCUUAUACAAAGGCACAAUUAUAUGUCGUAAAUAUGGUGCUGGUGCUCUUUACUCCGGAGGAACUAGCAAUAAAGGAUGUAAGUGGGACACGACUAGAGUGCAGUGUUGCAGAGAAGAUCAAUUGAGGCCUGGAUGCAAAUGGUCGAAGAGUUGUUACGGUAGUGCAUAUAAAGCUAGUAGAGUAUGCAGAAACGAAUUUGGGGGGAAGUUGAAGCCUUCAGGGAGAUAUUUAAGCUGUGAUGGUACAACGUUUGGAACUACUCACGAAUGCUGUCCAUAAUCGGACAAAGAUGACAUAAACAUUUCGGUCGCCGUCUCUGCUGAUCUAGUUUUAAUAUCACAUUGUUCAAAAAAAAA